RNAcentral lists this long non-coding RNA (241 nucleotides) under Carica papaya (papaya). RNAcentral describes it as "long non-coding RNA (CPAP_LNC014285)". The record is from RNAcentral. Lineage: Eukaryota; Viridiplantae; Streptophyta; Magnoliopsida; Brassicales; Caricaceae.
GUAGGAUCCAGCUCUACCCGUGAUGGACCCAAACUACAUCGAUAGAUACAAAAGACUUAAUCCAUCUACUUUUACAGGAGCAUCCACUUUUGAAGAAGCGGAAGAUGGAUUAGCAAAGAAGGAGAAGGCUUUUGCAACCCUUUAAGUAGUUCUUGAACAUAAGGUUAUUCUUGCCAUUUACAUGCUGGUGGGUGAGGCAAGGCGUUGGUGGUAACUGAAGCAGACUACUCUACUCACUUCA